CGGCGGACGGGUGAGUAACACGUGGAUAACCUACCUAUGAGACUGGGAUAACUUCGGGAAACCGGAGCUAAUACCGGAUAAUAUAUUGAACCGCAUGGUUCAAUAGUGAAAGACGGUUUUGCUGUCACUUAUAGAUGGAUCCGCGCCGCAUUAGCUAGUUGGUAAGGUAACGGCUUACCAAGGCAACGAUGCGUAGCCGACCUGAGAGGGUGAUCGGCCACACUGGAACUGAGACACGGUCCAG
RNAcentral lists this ribosomal RNA (244 nucleotides) under uncultured Staphylococcus sp. Its description in RNAcentral is "partial 16S ribosomal RNA". It matches the Rfam family "Bacterial small subunit ribosomal RNA", at positions 96 to 334 of the family's 1533-position model. Lineage: Bacteria; Bacillati; Bacillota; Bacilli; Caryophanales; Staphylococcaceae. The record is from RNAcentral.